Homo sapiens (human) is the source of this 2956-nucleotide RNA transcript. It is a transcript of the gene named H2B histone pseudogene 2, with no coding region annotated. The record is from RefSeq and is marked validated. The transcript has 3 exons. NCBI's taxonomy places the organism in Eukaryota, Metazoa, Chordata, Mammalia, Primates, Hominidae.
AGUUCGGAUUACUUCUUUAAGUCUCUGUUCUCUUUUUUCGCGCAAAAAUGCCGGAUCCAGCGAAAUCCGCUCCUGCUCCCAAGAAGGGCUCCAAAAAGGCUGUUACGAAAGUGCAGAAGAAGGACGGCGAGAAGCGCAAGCGCAGCCGCAAGGAGAGCUACUCCGUUUACGUGUAGGAGGUGCUGAAGCAGGUCCACCCCGACACCGGCAUCUCGUCCAAGACCAUGGGCAUCAUGAACUCCUUCGUCAACGACAUCUUCGAGCGCAUCGCGGGAGAGGCGUCCCGCCUGGCGCACUACAACAAGCGCUCCACCAUCACGUCCCGCGAGAUCCAGACGGCCGUGCGCCUGCUGCUGCCCGGCGAGCUGGCCAAGCACGCCGUGUCCGAGGGCACCAAGGCGGUCACCAAGUACACCAGCUCGAAAUCUCAGAAGUUGGUUGAAACAAAAACAGUUCAUACAGCAUGGUAGGCAGAAUUCUAAAAUGAUCCCAAUGACUCACUCCCUUGCAUAAUCCCCUUGAGUGUGGGUGGAACCUAUGACUUGCUUCUAGCCAACAGAAUAUGACAAGGGUGAUGAAAUGUCACUCUUGGGAUUGCUACAUUAUGUAAGACUCUAUCUUAGCAGUCUGGAUGGAAAGUCUCCUCCUGAACUUGAAGAGGUAAGCUGCCACGCCAGGAGAGGGCCUACAAGAGUGCCACAAGGCAAGGGCCUCUAGGAGCUGAGAGUGGCCCCCCACUGAUGGGCAGCAAGAAAGCAGGAACCUCAGUCCUACAACCACAAAGAACUGAAUUCUGCCAGUGACCUUGUGAGCCUGGAAGAGCUGCAAAAAGAAACACAGCAAAGUCAACACCCUAACUGCAGCCUUGGAAGACUCUCAGCAGAGCACUCAGCUAAGCUGUGAUGGGAGUCCUGACCCAUGGAAACUGGAAGAUCUUAAAUGUUAAUAGGACCCAUCCUUUGGAAGUAGGAAAGUGGCAUAGAAGGAGAAGCUGAGUUAGAGAUCACUCACCCACUUGCCCAUCAACUGGAACUGCAAGAGAUCAGAGAAUAAAGAUAUCAGUUGGUCCAAGGAAAAUAAUGAGGAAGAGAGAAUUGGGGAGACAGAAUUAAUGUAGACUCUGAGGGAUCAACUCAGAUCUCUUGAGUUUCUAUUUCUCUUUCUCAAAAUCCAGUACUAACAGAACUGAACAAGCUACAGGUGGUUAUCAAGGAAACUUCACUGCGGUGCGUCCAGGCUUAAUGCUACCUCAGGGUUGCCCUUCCCAUCCUUUUCAUAAAAUAAGCUCUAAUAAACCGUGGAAGCACAGAUACAAGUUGCUUCAUACUCAUGAGUUCUACCCAGAGUUACCACAGGAAGACAAAACUCUUGACUCACAACAGCCACAGCCUGUACCCUUCUAACUGUCCCCUCUGAGUCCAACUUACCCCAAAGGAGCAGAGUUGUCAAGAACCACAUGUUGUCUCCAAGCUGGUGGGAGCAGUGAAAUCUGUAACAUGCAAGAUAUUGAAGAGGUUCUGCUGGUGGCUCCAGAGCCAAAUUAGAAAAGAGGAAGGAAAUUGCCUUUUCUGACCAUUUUCAUCAUGUUCCUUUUCUGGGAAAUACAUCUCAAAUCCUUGAAACAUGCUUUUCCCAUGCUCAUACCUGUUAGCCCAUCUCUCCCAGUUUGAAUCUCUGAUUUUCAGGUUAUGAACUCUCAGAAUCCAGGGAAAAGGCUAAAGUUGUGUUGACAUUCUAUUCUAUUUUUACCCUCUACCGUUUCUGUUUCUUACGGUUAGAAUAUGGCAAAACCUCACUCUUUAUAAUUGGUUCAAUGCCUGGCUAAUGCCUCCAAACAAUCAUUUGAAUCCAGAAGUAUCUAUAUCAGCCUCUAUGAGGCCAUGGGAAAAGUUACUCAUCUACAAGAGCUGCCCUAAUACAAACCAGCCUCUGCUCCUCUAGGGGACACAGACAGGAUCAAUCUCCCAUUUUGGUUAAAAAAGAAAACAAACUCUCUUCCUGAAAGACAUCAUGAAUUUGGAGUGUUUAUUUUGGCUAAAUCCAAGGUAAUUAAUUGUUUAAUGUGGAUGCUAUGGAGAAGAAAAAUAACUCAUGCACAUGGAUAACAAUAUCUUCAAGAAAAGAGUUUCAGAGUACAAGUGGGGAGCUCUGUGCCACCAAACUGAGGUGGCUCCUGAGACAGAGUUGUAACCCCAUAAAAAGAUUUUUAGGUAUUGUGGUAAGAGAGAAAGAGAGCUAAAUGGAAACUAGGAUGAAUUCAAUGAGUGCAGAGAGACUUUGGCAAUCUUACUAGCAGAGAAUGAAAAAUGAUGACAAAUCAUGCUGUAGAUUGGUGUACUGGCCCCAGUUUCUCACCGCUCCCUGAAUCUACACUCUCUCCACAGCCUCAUGAGGGUACGUCUCUGACUCUUGACUGUGGCUCAUCAUGAGACUUUCAUUGGCCAGCGAAAUGUGAAUGGAAAUGACAUGGUGCUAAUUUCAAACUUAGCACUUAGGAAGCUUCACACAUUAUCUCUCACCCUCUUGUUCUCCUGUGAUUGCUGAGACAAGAACAUUUUUUAGCUAGUCAGCCACCGUGCGAAACAGAGCUGUCCUAGACAUUGUGGCUUGAGGCAGAGCUGCCUCACCUGCCCUGCAAACUUGUAAGUGAGAACUAAAUGCUUACCUUUAUAUGCUACUGAGAUUUGAAGAUUGCUGUACAAGCAAGAGCUGACUGACACAAAUGAAAAGCAAGGAAGAAAGGCCGGGAAGAACUCAGGGUGUUCUGAAGAGACGAGAGAAGCCUCAGCUUGUUAAAAUUUAUAUUCAAAGCCUAUAUCUGUAACUAUUUUACUAUUUUGUCUCCAAAGUUUUCUACUGUAUGCAUGUACCAUAAUUUAUUUCACCAACUUCUCUUCAUGAACAUGUAGGUUAUUUCUAAUUUUUUACUGUGUGACCAGUAAAAAAGACUGCUUAC